Molecule: ribosomal RNA, 372 nt
Filed under: uncultured organism
Description: bacterial SSU rRNA
Rfam family: Bacterial small subunit ribosomal RNA
Source: RNAcentral
CGUAGGGUGCGAGCGUUAAUCGGAAUUACUGGGCGUAAAGUGUGCGCAGGCGGCCGAGCAAGUCGAGUGUGAAAGCCCCGAGCUUAACUUGGGAACUGCGCUCGAAACUACUUGGCUAGAGUGUGGCAGAGGGAGGUGGAAUUCCACGUGUAGCGGUGAAAUGCGUAGAGAUGUGGAGGAACACCGAUGGCGAAGGCAGCCUCCUGGGCCAACACUGACGCUCAUGCACGAAAGCGUGGGGAGCAAACAGGAUUAGAUACCCUGGUAGUCCACGCCCUAAACGAUGAUGACUAGUUGUUGGAGGAGUUAAAUCCUUUAGUAACGCAGCUAACGCGUGAAGUCAUCCGCCUGGGGAGUACGGUCGCAAGAUUA